This 222-nucleotide ribosomal RNA is filed under the name uncultured bacterium. RNAcentral's name for it is "partial 16S ribosomal RNA". It matches the Rfam family "Bacterial small subunit ribosomal RNA", at positions 113 to 334 of the family's 1533-position model. The record is from RNAcentral.
CGACGUAAAGAACUUGCCUCACAGAUAGGGACAACAUUUGGAAACGAAUGCUAAUACCUGAUAUUAUGAUUUUAGGGCAUCCUAGGAUUAUGAAAGCUAUAUGCGCUGUGAGAGAGCUUUGCGUCCCAUUAGCUAGUUGGAGAGGUAACGGCUCACCAAGGCGAUGAUGGGUAGCCGGCCUGAGAGGGUGAUCGGCCACAAGGGGACUGAGACACGGCCCUU